RNAcentral lists this ribosomal RNA (253 nucleotides) under uncultured bacterium. RNAcentral describes it as "partial 16S ribosomal RNA". It matches the Rfam family "Bacterial small subunit ribosomal RNA", at positions 524 to 776 of the family's 1533-position model. The record is from RNAcentral.
UACAGAGGGUGCAAGCGUUAAUCGGAAUUACUGGGCGUAAAGGGCGUGUAGGCGGUUUGAUAAGUUAGGUGUGAAAGUCCUGGGCUUAACCUGGGAAUUGCGCCUAAUACUGUCGAGCUAGAGUACUGUAGAGGAAGGUGGAAUUUCCGGUGUAGCGGUGAAAUGCGUAGAUAUCGGAAGGAACAUCAGUGGCGAAGGCGACCUUCUGGACAGAUACUGACGCUGAGACACGAAAGCAUGGGUAGCAAACAGG